Molecule: long non-coding RNA, 4325 nt
Filed under: Coffea arabica (coffee)
Lineage: Eukaryota; Viridiplantae; Streptophyta; Magnoliopsida; Gentianales; Rubiaceae
Description: long non-coding RNA (CARA_LNC004480)
Source: RNAcentral
GACUAAUAAAGUAGCUGUAGCUGUGGCCGUGACAGGGGCAGAACUUGGCGGAGGAGAGCUCGAACCCCCACCAGGUGCCCCACCGGGCGAGGUGGGUGUAGGAGCUCCUCCGGGACCAGAAGCUCCUCCGGGACCAGGAGCACUUGAAGGUGUAGAAGCUCCUCCGGGACCAGGAGCUGGUGAGGAUGACGGCACUGAUGCUGGAGAUGGUGCUGGCACUGAUGCUGGAGUAGGUGCUGGACCCGCUGGUGUUUUUGGUGCUGGGGCUGGUGUUGCUGCUGCUGGUGUUUUUGCUGGUGCUGGUGCCGAAGUCGGUGGUGCAGGUGUAGUUGACGGUGUUGAUGCUGGCGGAGGUGUGGAUGAGGGUGGAGGUGUGGAUGCUGAUGGAGGUGUUGAUGGUGGCGAUGAUGCUGGUGGAGGGGUGGCUUUAGGAGCUGGAGCUGGAGCUGCACCACCUCCUGAAACGGAGACGGUCAAUUUUUGUCCCAAGGAACAGUGCUGGGCGAAGGUGCAAAUGAAAUAUGCCUGCCCUGGGGAGGUUAGAUUGAUUCUUGCCGGACCAACAGUUUGUAGUGAGAUGGGAUUGCUUGAGGUGCAUCCGUCAUAACUUGCCUUUGGAACUACGGCCACAUCGUGAGCCCCAGUUGCGAAGUUAAAAACUGCAACAAUUUACAAAGUUUCACUACUCAUUUAUCAAGACACUCGAAAUCCUAACCUGUAUCAUCAAACUGAACACAAAAAAAAAAAUCUGAUGCCAAUUAUGCAAGAAUUUUAUAUUACUAGUUUCAUAGCAGCAUCGAUCCAUUCUAAGUCCAACAAAAACGAAAUCAAGAAAAGCUGCUAAACAAAUCUAUUCAGGGUUCAGCGUGCCCUGUGACAAAGAUGUAGGGGCAGGGUACAUAAAUAUCUCGUACGUACCUAAGAUAUCACCAACUUUGAAGGUAUGUUGAGAAGCCCAGUUGGGAUAGACCGAAGAACUGGAGGGGAUUGCCCAGCCCAAGCUGUCCCCGACCACAUGAGUUGCCGCAUCGGUGUUUCCUAGAAUAGCAGCGGCUAGAAUUACCAAAAGUGGAACUGCUGCAAAGGUGGUACUUGCAGCCAUAUUUUCCUCUAGCUAGAGGGGCUACUUAUGUGUUCUCAAGUCGACCCCUGCCUGAAGCUUUCUAAGCUUUUGCUAAUCGUGGGAUCCUGCUCAAGCGUUCAACAAGAACCCUUCCGUUUCAACCGGGGAAAUCAAAUACUAUAAUAGAUUAUAGAGAGAGAGAGAGAGAGAGAGAGAGAGAGGAAACACAAAAAGAAAAGGACGUGUGACGAGUAGGCUGAAUUUUCCUUGGAAGUGUGUGGGAGGAGGAAGAGGAUAUAGGGGGUCUCGAAAGGAUAGAUUCCACGUGGAGUGGUAAUAGUGCGUCAGUGGUAGCUAGGGAUUGGCUAUUGAAUUGUUGAGCUGUUGCUGAACGAUUACCCGCAUCAGCAAUUCAGCAAACGGUAGAAACACGGAGAUUUUUGCUCCAACUAGUGGUCUUCCAACUCAACUGUUCAUCGCUCGGUGCGUUUGACUGGGGUUGGAAAAUGCUUUGCCCACAAACAUUGCAAAAGAGGCCUUUGAUUUUUCAAGUGCCUAAUGAAUGUCGGGCGGUGUUAGUGUCAUAAUCUAUAAAUUUUGCUAAUUCUUGAAUAAAAUACGAAGCUUGUCUUUUUUCAAGUCAAAAUGAAACGUAGAUUGCAAAAAGAAGUCAAAAUUCCGACCGUGAUAAUAUCAUCAUCAUUUGCUAAUGCACAUGCGUGUCCGAUCUUCACAGGCGUGGAGUUGCUCUUACCAAAAAUAUCAACCACGGAUAUGGUCGUGCAAAUUCAAGCAGAAAUCCUGGGUGGAGAACGGAAUAGACAGCAAAGCAUGCCACCUGAUGGGCAUGGCUGUAGCCUGUAAUGAAGGGGUACGAGAGUACUGUAUUUUCACCGGGAAGCGUGACUUUUCUAGUAUUUGGAGUUAGUCUGCCGUCGGUCGGCAUGCCUUUAUGAAAGUGGUGAUCAAGGCCCACCACGCGUUUUUACCGGUUCAAACUUUAGAAGUCAGCACAGACCGACCGCUUUCUACAGUUUUUUUUUUUUUUUUUUUGGUGAAAGAGGACGAUUAAUAAUUAUUAUAUAACUUAUCUAUUUUAAAUUAGAGGGAGACUUUGUAUUAGGAGCUAAUAGAUACAUAAAUUUUACUAGAUUAAGAGAGUAUUUUAUCUUAAUUUUUAGAAUUUAAUUUACUAUGAAUGGGAUCUAAACCCCCACUAACAGUCCAAACAGGAUUUUAAAACCCAAGCUCAGUGGUUACCGCUUUCUACAGUUGAAAUGUCGAACAAAUUAGCUUAUGGUUCUGAACACUGAACUACGAGAAGAUAAGAGUGUGUUAUCCCUUUGAAAUGUCAACGAAAUCUAACGGCUUAAGGGUCACCAUUUGUCCCGAAGAUGGUUGGCUGAGGAACCCUCUUCACUUCUUUUUUGUUUGGCAUGGAGUCGUUUCGUACGAUACAAUAUGAGCCUAGUGAAAAAAUCUAAAUACAUCAAUAUAUAAUAAAUAUUAAUUUUUUUUCGCAACAGCGACAAUCUACUGCACUACUGAUUUUUUUUUUUAUUGUUUUAUAUGGAAUCUUUUUGUUUCGUAUGGAGUCGUUUCAUAUAAUAUGAGUCUAGUAAGAAAAACUAAAUAAAUCAAUACGUGACAAAUAUAAUUUUUGCUUUUUUGCAAUGGCAACAAUCUAGUGCACUGCUAUACUUCCUUAUCAUUUCAUGCAAUAUGAGCUUAGUAAGAAAUAUCUUGUUCCAAUACAUUUGUCUUUACAGAAAGUAAGCAUGUUUUUGCAAAUAAACCUAAUCCCCACAGUAACUUCAAAAGCCGGCAACUUUUAAAGUCCUGCGAGGGACUUAUCUACCCAAACAUCCCAACCCCCCAACCGAUGUGGGAUAGAAAACCCCACAGGGUGCCCUGCUGCUAAGAGAUAUCUAAAUACAUCAACACAUAACAAAUAUAACUUUUUUUUUUUGAACUACAACAAUUAAGUGCAUUGCUAUACUUCCUUGUGAUGCAUUAAACAGACUAUUAUACUUUUUUAUGAUGCACUAGACAUAAUUUAAAUCUCACACCUAGUGUGCGGGAGAGAUUUAAAGUGGCUCUCCUCGACCAUUGGACCAAUGCCCAAUGGUUACGUAACAACCAUUAACGUGAAGUAUUCAACUGAACGAAGAAAACCUUCUAGUCCAAUUUCUUGAUAUACAUAUCAUUGUAGGCCAAUUGACAAGGACUUGGGUAGUGUUUUCUCUGGCAAUGACCAAAAGCCAUAAAAGAUGUACAGUCCACAUCCAUGAAGGAACCAAGAAAUACAAAUCGGACAUGCCAUCAAGUUGAAGGCACUGAGGCCAUGCCUUUAUGCGCGGCGGGCCGGGGAGCCAAGCUUGGUGGGGGUGAAAAGAUGUUUGUUCUCCCCCCCCGGCGGCGGGGGCGGGUUUUUUGAUUCAUUGGCGUAGUCAAAUUAAUGGCAUUUUCCAUCCUAUAGAAAAAGAUCUUCUUUUUAUUUCUUUAUUUGAAAAAAUAAAAGUAAAAAGUGAUGACAUCUGAAGCUUUAGCCUUUAAGCAUCUUUAAAAAAAAAAAAGGUUUAUUUUAUAGUUGUUUAAAGCGAAAAUUGAGAACUGCAAAAACAAAUUCUAUAGGAGAAAAAGUGCUCCUACAAUGGAAAAUUAGUGAGGGCAAUUCUGCUUGCAUCCUUUAAAGUUUGUACAACUACAAAAGUCUACUUUGUGUUACCAAUUACUACGUUGAAAUCCCCUAUUAUUUGUUUGACAUUAUGGUUAAAAAAGUAAUGGAUAUAUUUUCGCUGGAAUUACGUUGUGUCAAGAUAAUCUUGAAGCGCAACAGAUCUUCUGUCUCACAUCCUGUGUCACUCUCUGUCCCACUUUUUAUUAUAUUGUUAUCUCUCCUUCAUAAACAGCAUGUUUUAAUUCUUUUUUAUUUUCUUAAAAUCCAAUAACUAUUAAUUCAGUAAUACACAAAAUUUAACAAAUUCAAAAAAUAAAAUGCAUAAAAAAUGAGAUUUUUUAUGAAUUUUCUGCUGUAUUUUUAAUUUUCUAUUAUAUAUUACUUUUUUUAAGCUGUUGUAUUUAUUUUUUACUGAAUUAAUAAUUAUUGGAUCUUAAGGAAACAAAAAAAGAAUUAAAACAUACUGUUUAUGAAGGAGAAAUAGUAAUAUAAUAAAAAAUGAGACAGAGAGUGACACAGAAUGUAGGACAGAAGAUCCGUUGCUAUCUUGAAGUAAUGGAACAUCUUAAGAUAAGAUAUAUC